CGGCCCUUACCGUUUAAUACAUGUUCCCGGUCGAUGCACCAUGUAUUAAACGGUAAGGGCCGGC
Molecule: microRNA precursor, 64 nt
Organism: Caenorhabditis elegans
Lineage: Eukaryota; Metazoa; Nematoda; Chromadorea; Rhabditida; Rhabditidae
Source: Ensembl